CCUACGGGUGGCCGCAGUGAGGAAUAUUGGUCAAUGGACGAGAGUCUGAACCAGCCAAGUAGCGUGAAGGAUGACUGCCCUAUGGGUUGUAAACUUCUUUUAUAUGGGAAUAAAAUGUUCCACGUGUGGGAUUUUGUAUGUACCAUAUGAAUAAGGAUCGGCUAACUCCGUGCCAGCAGCCGCGGUAAUACGGAGGAUCCGAGCGUUAUCCGGAUUUAUUGGGUUUAAAGGGAGCGUAGGUGGAUUGUUAAGUCAGUUGUGAAAGUUUGCGGCUCAACCGUAAAAUUGCAGUUGAAACUGGCAGUCUUGAGUACAGUAGAGGUGGGCUGAAUUCGUGGUGUAGCGGUGAAAUGCUUAGAUAUCACGAAGAACUCCGAUUGCGAAGGCAGUUCACUGGACUGCAACUGACACUGAGGCUCGAAAGUGUGGGUAUCAAACAGGAUUAGAUACCCCUGUAGUA
Molecule: ribosomal RNA, 460 nt
Filed under: uncultured bacterium
Lineage: Bacteria
Description: partial 16S ribosomal RNA
Rfam family: Bacterial small subunit ribosomal RNA
Source: RNAcentral